This is a transfer RNA of Trichophyton interdigitale MR816, 90 nucleotides long. It matches the Rfam family "tRNA". From Rfam's summary of the family: Transfer RNA (tRNA) molecules are approximately 80 nucleotides in length. Their secondary structure includes four short double-helical elements and three loops (D, anti-codon, and T loops). Further hydrogen bonds mediate the characteristic L-shaped molecular structure. tRNAs have two regions of fundamental functional importance: the anti-codon, which is responsible for specific mRNA codon recognition, and the 3' end, to which the tRNAs corresponding amino acid is attached (by aminoacyl-tRNA synthetases). tRNAs cope with the degeneracy of the genetic code in two manners: having more than one tRNA (with a specific anti-codon) for a particular amino acid; and 'wobble' base-pairing, i.e. permitting non-standard base-pairing at the 3rd anti-codon position. The record is from Rfam. Lineage: Eukaryota; Fungi; Ascomycota; Eurotiomycetes; Onygenales; Arthrodermataceae.
CCCCUGGUCGUCUAGUUGGUUUAAGGCGCUCGGCUGUAAUUGUUAACUCAUGAAACCGAGAAAUCGCUGGUUCGACUCCAGCCCAGGGGA